This 266-nucleotide long non-coding RNA is filed under the name Elaeis guineensis (African oil palm). RNAcentral's name for it is "long non-coding RNA (EGUI_LNC054555)". The record is from RNAcentral. Lineage: Eukaryota; Viridiplantae; Streptophyta; Magnoliopsida; Arecales; Arecaceae.
CCGUUAUAGAAGUUCGGACGAAGUCCGGCUCUUGUAGAAGCUCGGAUGAAAUCUAGAAUGCGGUCGACUACCGUAGAAACUUGGAUGGAGUCUGAUUAUUAUAGAAGUCCUGCUGUUGGAGAAGCUCGGACAUUGAUGAAGUCCGGAAGAAGUUCAGAGUAAAGUUGCUCAUGGCAGGGGGAGUCUGAAAGAGAUUCAGAGGGUAGCCAAUCACUAUAGCAAGUCGGCUGAUAAUGAAGCCCAAAGAGCAUUUGGAGUAGCUCGGU